AUGCUUACAUCUGAAGAAAUUGGUGAGCUUGCUGUGAUUGAUAGGUGUCAGAUUCUCGUCAUGUUGCAGAUGUGUUCCUGUUCCGAUUUCCACUUUGUCGAGUCCCCCUCUUUAAAUGUUUUGAAGUUACGGCUUCAUCCUGGCAUUCAAGAAGACUCUGCUACCUUGAUUUUUGAAAUUAGCACGCGUUUAGGAAACAACUCGUUCCUUGGAUCAAUCCAUAUUCUUCUGAACCUCUGCUGUUCCACAGUAAGAGGCCCAGAAGAAUAUUCAUACCAAAUCAACAGCGAGAUAACUGUAAAGUGCAGAAACGCUGUGCAAGUGCAUGCACUUCGCUAGCCCUUAUUUUCCCUACCCCAUGAUAGACCCUCCCAGACAGGAGCUUCUCUCUCUCCCUCUCCUGUACCUGUCACUGAAAGUCCGUCUGCCACUUUUGCAGGGCCACAGGUGUCCCAUGAGGGACGUGGGUGGCGCUGUGGGUUAAACCACAGAGCCUAGGACUUUCCGAUCAUAAGGUCGGCGGUUCGAAUCCCCGCAACGGGGUGAGCUCCCAUUGCUCGGUCCCUGCUCCUGCCAACCUAGCAGUUCGAAAGCACGAAAUGCAAGUAGAUAAAUAGGUACCGCUUCAGCGGGAAGGUAAACGGCAUUUCCGUGUGCUGCUCUGGUUCUCCAGAAGCGGCUAAGUCAUGCUGGCCACAUGACCUGGAAGCUGUACACCAGCUCCCUCGGCCAAUAAAGCGAGAUGAGCGCCGCAACCCCAGAGUCGUUCGCGACUGGACUUAACAGUCAGGAGUCCCUUUACCUUUAAUGGUGUCCCAGAAGGGGAGACACCAAAUCGAUACAUUUGAGGUGACCCCCACAGACACCAGUGCAUCACUGGUGUUUUGCAGCAUGCUCAGCUUCUCCCUUCCCAUCCUGAAACACCUUCUUGGGAUGAGUGGACUCUGUUUGCCUGCCUCUACACAGCAGCAGUUAAUGAGGACUGACCCAUGCAGCAAAUUGCUGUUAAAUUAGUGCAAAAAGUUAAAAGGUCUCAGAUAGUAUCUUAAAGGGCAAAGGGUAACCUGUUUGAAGUUCACUUCCUUUUUCUUGAUAACCUGGCGGCCAAGAUGUUUUGUUAUCACCGCCUGCAUCAUACCCGACUUUGUCUCUCCCCAUCCUGAGGUCCAGCUGGUCCACCUCUGCACACGGGCAGCUAAGUAGCACCAUCCCAUGUGGUCAAAUUGCUGGUAUGCUUGUACAGAGAAAAAGUCUUACAUAUUGGCUGCAGAUGUGAAGGGCAGAAAGUAAGGUGUGUGAAGCUCAUCUCCCUUUGAAACCUUUGGCUAAUUUAUUUCCCUUGCUGCUGUGAGUCCUGCCUUCCUAGCUGGAUGCAUGGACUAUUCCUUGCUCACAUUCUCCUCCUCCUCCUCCAUAGCAGCCAGCUCUUGAAAGAUGAGGCUGCGGGAAAUCUAGUGUUGUCUUUGCUGGGGAGGGAACUGGUCCAGGGAUGUGGGAGUACAUUUGAAGGCAUGCUUACCCAAAAGCUUUUCUCACCUCCAAGAGCCUUUUAAGCUGGUGUGUGUGUGUGUAAGUGCCCAUGGGUCCCCUUGGAGCUUUAAGAAUUCAAUGGAGUCAGGGGCUUGGGCACAGGUCUCAUACAUUCCCCUCAGCUGGACUCUUCUCCUGUACUGCCCCAGGCUGAAGGCAGGCAAGCAGUAAAGGUAAAGGGACCCCUGACCGUUAGG
This 1727-nucleotide long non-coding RNA is filed under the name Podarcis muralis (Common wall lizard). RNAcentral's name for it is "lncRNA (ENSPMRG00000000881.1)". The record is from RNAcentral. Lineage: Eukaryota; Metazoa; Chordata; Lepidosauria; Squamata; Lacertidae.